GGACAACAAUGGCAUACUAUUAUUUUCAAGUGGAAGUUUAACUGCUUUACCUUUUUUUUAAUCAUACACCAAUAUAUACUUGACAGAUAUAUUUACACAUUUAUUUAGUGUACAAAUAAUAUUAUGUACAUCAAAUAUCAUUAGUCAUAAGUACAUAAAGGAAAUGUUCUUGUUUCCUCAGUUAAAUAAAUAAAUCAAUUCCAAAGUAGAUAAAUACCUAUAAUUAACUUGUACAUUUUUAAAAUGUAAUUAAAACGUACACUAUUUUACAUGGAAUUUACACUAUAGUGCAUAUUCUACACCUACAUAUUUGAUGGUAUGAAUUCCUUAUUCCCUAGGUAUUCCUUAUCAAAAAUGUAGUAGAAAGUAUACAACUUUUGUUAAAAUUAACAGAAUAAAGCAAUACAGUAAAAUACAUAGAUAUAACAUACCUAGUUAAACUAGGUUAGAACUAGUUAGGAAUACUAUAAAUAAUAUUAACUGUCCUAACAUUGUCAAGUGAAUGUACAUACUAAAAAUAUUAAUUUAAUGUCAUUAAUUAUUUGUAUACAAAAUCAAAUUGGUAUUAUUAAAGUUACCAUUUUACAAAACAAAGUAAUAAUUAAAGAUCAUACAAUUCUAUCACCAAAAGAUACCUUAGUACAUAUAUUUUUUUUUAUAUUAAUUUCUAUAAGUUAUUCUUAUAUGACACCUUAACACAGUUAAUUUCAACAAUUUUGAUUAACUGUUAAUUAUACACAAUUAAUUUAUAAAUCAUGCAACACUAUUAAUAUAGGUAAGUACUUAAUACCAAUGUGUAGUAUCUCAACACACAAUUUACUAAUCAUUAUUAUUUUUGUUCAAAAUAUUUUAUAUUUUCUAAUAAUAUCCCACUGAUGACCGAUUUGCAACUGGUACAAGUAUUAAUACAAUAAUACUUAGAAAUAAGUUUCAAACUCUUAAAAUGUAAAAGUAAUCCUUCAAGUGGUAGGUUAUAUUGAAUAUAUCUAGUUAUUAAAAGGACAUGAUAUGUUACCCUUAUGUGUUAUUUCAGUCCAAUUAAUAAGCAACAUAGCAAAAAUAUUAUAAUACAGACUGAGUAAACCUUGUUUAAUUUUAGUUUUAGAAUAAAAGCACUUGCUAUAAAACUAAAAGAAGACUAAUAUUUAGUAGGGCACCAUACUGUGGUUAAAAUAAAAUAAACAUUUAAAAAAUUUACAGUAAUUUUAAAAUAUUAAAACAUUUCAUAAUAAUGUACAUCACAUUUAAAAUGAUGGCAACAAGGUGUUCUCCAGAAUAUUAUCCACUUUUAGUUUUAUAAUUAGGUGCUUUAAAACUAAAACUAAAUUAAUUAUAAUCAGUCUGAAUAAACAUGUUUUUGUUAUAUUCUUUAGUUGGUCAGAGCUAGUAAUUAAAGGUCUCACAUUAUUUUAACUUAAUCAAUACAUAUAUGAUAUAAUUGAACAAUGAACAAAUGUUUAUUUCUAUAGAAUAUUUAAAGUUUUGAUAAAUAAACAAAAAUGGAUAUUUAUUGUAGUUCAUGAAUUUAAACCCCCUCAUCAAAUUAGUUUUCUGUAAAAAAAAUUAGGUUAAAGAAAAGAAAAUAUCUAGGCUAUAUUUAAAUAAUUAAGAUAUAGGUGCUAAUUUUGGUUUUAAAUUUGUUUUGGGAAUUUUAAAAUUUAAACAAAAAAUGAUCAAUUAAUUAUCCUAUUUAAUGUUCAGUAUUAAAUAUACCUACCUAUACAAUACAUCAUAUUUUAUUUUAAUGUGAAAUGUUUAAUCAAUAUUUGUAUUAAUAAUACUUGUAAUUAUGUAUUUAUGUUUACCUACAAGAGUGAAUUUAACUUUUAAGAAAUAAAUAUUAAAUUCAAACAAAUGAACUGGAAAAACAUAUAUUUUAUUGUUUUGGAUUUGUAUGUCAAAAUAAAUAAAAAAUCAUUUUAUAAUUAUUAUUUCAGUUGGUAAUUUGUCAAUGUUGAACCAUUAUGAUAAUAUGAUUUAAUGAUAUUAAUACAAUUCUUAUAUUUUCUCAUUCAGCU
This is a non-coding RNA of Cinara cedri, 2018 nucleotides long. NCBI's taxonomy places the organism in Eukaryota, Metazoa, Arthropoda, Insecta, Hemiptera, Aphididae. The record is from the annotation of a GenBank genome assembly.